This 914-nucleotide ribosomal RNA is filed under the name uncultured marine archaeon. Its description in RNAcentral is "bacterial SSU rRNA". It matches the Rfam family "Archaeal small subunit ribosomal RNA", at positions 1 to 922 of the family's 1478-position model. The record is from RNAcentral.
UUCCGGUUGAUCCUGCCGGACCUGACUGCUAUCGGAUUGAUACUAAGCCAUGCGAGUCUUUGCAGUAAUGCAAGGCAUACGGCUCAGUAACACGUAGUCAACUUACCCUAUGGACGAGGAUAAUCUCGGGAAACUGAGCAUAAUACUCGAUAGAUCAUAAUGCCUGGAAUGGUUUAUGGUUGAAACGAUUCGUCGCCAUAGGAUGGGACUGCGGCCUAUCAGCUUGUUGGUGAGGUAAUGGCCCACCAAGGCGAUUACAGGUACGGGCUCUGAGAGGAGAAGCCCGGAGAUGGGUACUGAGACAAGGACCCAGGCCCUAUGGGGCGCAGCAGGCGAGAAAACUUUGCAAUGUGCGAAAGCACGACAAGGUUAAUCCGAGUGAUUUCUGCUAAAGAAAUCUUUUGCAAGUCAUAAAACCACUAGUGAAUAAGGGGUGGGCAAGUUCUGGUGUCAGCCGCCGCGGUAAAACCAGCACCUCAAGUGGUCAGGAGGAUUAUUGGGCCUAAAGCAUCCGUAGCCGGCUCUGUAAGUUUUCGGUUAAAUCCAUGUGCUCAACGCAUGGGCUGCCGAAAAUACUGCAUAGCUAGGGAGUGGGAGAGGUAGACGGUACUCAGUAGGAAGGGGUAAAAUCCUUUGAUCUAUUGAUGACCACCUGUGGCGAAGGCGGUCUACCAGAACACGUUCGACGGUGAGGGAUGAAAGCUGGGGGAGCAAACCGGAUUAGAUACCCGGGUAGUCCCAGCUGUAAACGAUGCAGACUCGAUGAUGCAUUGGCAUAUAGCCAGUGCAGUGUCGCAGGGAAGCCGUUAAGUCUGCCGCCUGGGAAGUACGUACGCAAGUAUGAAACUUAAAGGAAUUGGCGGGGGAGCACCACAAGGGGUGAAGCCUGCGGUUCAAUUGGAUUCAACGCCGGG